AUUUUUGUGCUUGGGACAAUGGCAUAGCUAGUGAGGUGCUAAUUGAGGCGUGUCUAUUGCUGGUUGAAAACUAUUUCCAAACCCACUCUUUGGCUUGGGUUCAAGCCCUGGCCAUUGAGAGAAUUUCUGGAAGGGCUCCCUAUGAGGUAAAACGCU
Molecule: non-coding RNA, 156 nt
Organism: Eucalyptus grandis
Lineage: Eukaryota; Viridiplantae; Streptophyta; Magnoliopsida; Myrtales; Myrtaceae
Source: Rfam